Drosophila sechellia is the source of this 582-nucleotide long non-coding RNA. RefSeq lists it as uncharacterized. The record is from RefSeq and is a predicted model, not a curated record. The transcript has 4 exons. Lineage: Eukaryota; Metazoa; Arthropoda; Insecta; Diptera; Drosophilidae.
AGGAGGAGACGGCGUUGUAAGAUUGUCAAUUUAUUGUGUUUAUAAUCACGAAGGAUGGCGAUUUUGUUUUUUCUUUGCAGGGCUCGUCUUCUCUUUUUGGUUGCGUUGGAUCACCAGUUGGCUGUGUUUGUUGAGGUUUUGGCGUCUCUAGUGUAGGCGCUCGUCGAUCUGAGGGAAUUUAAGAGUAGCGGAUGGAUAGAUUCUGCAGCUCCGCGCUAAGUGCCCUGAGCGAAGCGUAGGCAGCUUAUAUGGCCCGUCUAUUGCAGUGCAGCACUGCAAGUAGAUUGCAUCGGUGAUAAGAGAUACUAAUCGGGAAACGUGUGGCAAGAAAGUUCAGGAUCAGCUGGAAUGCGUUGUCUUGGGCUUGUUUAUCCAGGCGCGUUGAGAUAAAUUAGGCUGCGUCGAGGAAGGUGAUGACAGUGGAAGAAUUUGUAAGCAGACAGACGUGCGCUUUUCCAUCGGAUAGAUAUAUUAUUUAAAUAGAAAUAAGUAGAUGUAGAUUUAGUUGGAUGUGUCCAUGUCCAGCUUAUUGUUUAUUCCUUGAGUGAUUAAGGCCAUUAAAAUGUCAAUUUUCUUUUCUAA